GUGUCGGGAUAUAUAAUUGGGGUCUCAGGAUGGGGUCUGGGCAUUAAGCUCGGCAAAGACUCUGCUGGAAUCACCUACCACAAACACAGGGACCUCGCAAUCGCCCUCUUCUGCCUGGCCACAGUUCAGGUACUCGAUGUUUACAUACGAGCUAAGCAUUCCAUGUGUAUCCACAUCACGUUCAUCGAGAACGAUCUCAUGGAUGAUCUCCGUGUGAACUCAUGCAAAAUGAGGUUGGCACCGAACCAAAGCGAGGCUGAGGACAAGUUAAUGUUUUUUGGUGUGCAGGUGUUUGCAUUGUUUCUGAGGCCCAACAAGGAUCACAAGUACAGACUCUACUGGAAGAUCUACCACCUCGCAGUUGGGUACAGCAUCGUAAUCUUGAGUGUGGUGAACAUCUUCGAAGGUUUCGACAUCUUGGAUCCUGCUAAGAAGUGGAAGCGUGCUUACGUUGCCAUCAUCGUGACGCUGGGCGCCAUUGCACUGGUUCUGGAAGCCGUCACUUGGGCUAUAUAUCUGAAGAGAAGGCAGAGGGAAUCCGAGAAGUCUCACCACGGUGCCAAUGGUGCAAACGGGUACGGUGUCAGGGAACAUGAGAUGCUGUAGACGACAGCGAGAGACAUGUUAUUGCACAGAGAGGGGGUCACGAGGAGAUCUCGCUGUAGAGAGAGAGAGAGAGAGAGAGAUGCUGUUGGCAGAGUGAGCAGUAGUGUUUUGAUUUGGCACACAGAGAUGCGACUACCUCAGCCAUGCUUGUGAUUUCCUCUUGGAGGAGCUACAUGUCUUUCUCUUUCUUUUUGCUUCUUCAUUGUAUUGUAGUUUCUU
RNAcentral lists this long non-coding RNA (825 nucleotides) under Musa acuminata (dwarf banana). RNAcentral describes it as "long non-coding RNA (MACU_LNC001976)". Lineage: Eukaryota; Viridiplantae; Streptophyta; Magnoliopsida; Zingiberales; Musaceae. The record is from RNAcentral.